This 479-nucleotide ribosomal RNA is filed under the name uncultured bacterium. RNAcentral's name for it is "bacterial SSU rRNA". It matches the Rfam family "Bacterial small subunit ribosomal RNA", at positions 28 to 526 of the family's 1533-position model. The record is from RNAcentral.
GAUGAACGCUAGCGGCAGGCUUAACACAUGCAAGUCGAGGGGUAGAAGGAGCUUGCUCCUUUGAGACCGGCGCACGGGUGCGUAACGCGUAUGCAAUCUACCUUUUGCAGAGGGAUAGCCCAGAGAAAUUUGGAUUAAUACCUCAUAGUAUGUGAGGAUGGCAUCAUUUUCACAUUAAAGUCACAACGGCAAAGAUGAGCAUGCGUCCCAUUAGCUUGUUGGUAAGGUAACGGCUUACCAAGGCAACGAUGGGUAGGGGUCCUGAGAGGGAGAUCCCCCACACUGGUACUGAGACACGGACCAGACUCCUACGGGAGGCAGCAGUGAGGAAUAUUGGACAAUGGGCGCAAGCCUGAUCCAGCCAUGCCGCGUGCAGGAUGACGGUCCUAUGGAUUGUAAAGCUCUUUCACCGGUGAAGAUAAUGACGGUACCGUAAGAAUAAGCACCGGCUAACUACGUGCCAGCAGCCGCGGUAAAGU